RNAcentral lists this ribosomal RNA (1504 nucleotides) under Bacillus amyloliquefaciens. RNAcentral describes it as "partial 16S ribosomal RNA". It matches the Rfam family "Bacterial small subunit ribosomal RNA", at positions 92 to 1450 of the family's 1533-position model. The record is from RNAcentral. Lineage: Bacteria; Bacillati; Bacillota; Bacilli; Caryophanales; Bacillaceae.
UUAUUUUCGGACGGGAGAAUAACUCGUGGGUAACCUGCCUGUAAGACUGGGAUAACUCCGGGAAACCGGGGCUAAUACCGGAUGGUUGUUUGAACCGCAUGGUUCAAACAUAAAAGGUGGCUUCGGCUACCACUUACAGAUGGACCCGCGGCGCAUUAGCUAGUUGGUGAGGUAACGGCUCACCAAGGCGACGAUGCGUAGCCGACCUGAGAGGGUGAUCGGCCACACUGGGACUGAGACACGGCCCAAACUCCUACGGGAGGCAGCGAGCUUAGGGAAGUCAUCCAGCAAUGGACGAAAGUGCUGACGGAGCAACGCCGCGUGAGAGAUGAAGCUUAUCGAAUCGGUAAAGCUCUGUUGUUAGGGAAGAACAAGUGCCGUUCAAAUAGGGCGGCAACUUGAACGGUACCUAACCAGAACAGCGCACGGCUAACUACGUGCCACCAGCCGCAGUAAUACGUAGCUGGCAAGCGAUAGUACAGAAUUAUCGGGCAUAAACGGCUCGCAGGCGGUUUCUUAAGUAUGAUGUGAAAGCCCCCGGCUCAACCGGGGGAGGGUCAUUGAGAAAACUGGGGAACUUGAGUGCAGAAGGAGGAGAGUAGCACUUCCACGUGUAGCGGUGAAAUUGCGUAGAGAUGUGGAAGAACACCAGUGGACGACAGCGACCUCUCUCGUCUGUAACCUGACGCUGAGGAGCUGAAAGCGCUGGGGGAGUCGAACAGUGAUUCAAAUAGCCGUGGCUACCCCACGCUCGUAAACAAUUGAGCUGCUACAGUGUUGAAGGGGCUUUCCGCCCCCCUUCAGUGCCGUCCAGUUAACGCAAUAUAGCACAUGCCGCCGUCGCGCGAGAUACGAGUGCGCAAGGACUGAUCAACAUUCAAAAGAUAUAAUGACGCGCGCCCGCCCAGCACAGCGUGUCGACGCAAUGAUGGUCUUGAAUAAUAGCGAAGCCAACACGAAAAACAUAUUACCAGGGGCUUGCGAGACAUCCUCAUGACAAUCCUAGCAGUAUAAGGUACGUCGCUCCGUCAAGAGGACCAAACAGAGAUUGACACGUGGAGCAUGGUUCUUCCCUCAGACACGUGAACGUGUUAAAUGUAGAGAAUAACGUCCACACAACAAGCGGCAACCCUUUGAUUCUUAGUUGCCAGCAUCUCACUUUGUGGACACUCCAAUGGUGACGUCCCCGUGACAAACCGGAGCAAGGUGGGGAUGACGUCAACACCAUUCAUGCCCCUUAUGACCUGGGCUACACACGUGCUACAAUGGACAGAACAAAGGGCAGCGAAACCGCGAGGUUAAGCCAAUCCCACAAAUCUGUUCUCAGUUCGGAUCGCAGUCUGCAACUCGACUGCGUGAAGCUGGAAUCGCUAGUAAUCGCGGAUCAGCAUGCCGCGGUGAAUACGUUCCCGGGCCUUGUACACACCGCCCGUCACGCCACGAAAGAUAAAACUCCUGAUGUUCGUGCGGUAAAAGUCGUCACACAUAACUCUAGAGUGUAACC